Molecule: ribosomal RNA, 719 nt
Filed under: uncultured organism
Description: SSU rRNA
Rfam family: Bacterial small subunit ribosomal RNA
Source: RNAcentral
GAACGCUGGCGGCAGGCCUAACACAUGCAAGUCGAACGGUAACAGAAAGCAGCUUGCUGCUUUGCUGACGAGUGGCGGACGGGUGAGUAAUGUCUGGGAAACUGCCUGAUGGAGGGGGAUAACUACUGGAAACGGUAGCUAAUACCGCAUAACGUCGCAAGACCAAAGAGGGGGACCUUCGGGCCUCUUGCCAUCGGAUGUGCCCAGAUGGGAUUAGCUAGUAGGUGGGGUAAAGGCUCACCUAGGCGACGAUCCCUAGCUGGUCUGAGAGGAUGACCAGCCACACUGGAACUGAGACACGGUCCAGACUCCUACGGGAGGCAGCAGUGGGGAAUAUUGCACAAUGGGCGCAAGCCUGAUGCAGCCAUGCCGCGUGUAUGAAGAAGGCCUUCGGGUUGUAAAGUACUUUCAGCGGGGAGGAAGGGAGUAAAGUUAAUACCUUUGCUCAUUGACGUUACCCGCAGAAGAAGCACCGGCUAACUCCGUGCCAGCAGCCGCGGUAAUACGGAGGGUGCAAGCGUUAAUCGGAAUUACUGGGCGUAAAGCGCACGCAGGCGGUUUGUUAAGCCAGAUGUGAAAUCCCCGGGCUCAACCUGGGAACUGCAUCUGAUACUGGCAAGCUUGAGUCUCGUAGAGGGGGGUAGAAUUCCAGGUGUAGCGGUGAAAUGCGUAAAGAUCUGGAGGAAUACCGGUGGCGAAAGCGGCCCCCUGGACGAAGA